This 511-nucleotide ribosomal RNA is filed under the name uncultured archaeon. Its description in RNAcentral is "bacterial SSU rRNA". It matches the Rfam family "Archaeal small subunit ribosomal RNA", at positions 346 to 859 of the family's 1478-position model. The record is from RNAcentral.
AUCUCUGCAAUAGGCGAAAGCUUGACAGGGUUACUCUGAGUGAUUCCCGCUAAGGGGAUCUUUUGGCACCUUUAAAAAUGGUGCAGAAUAAGGGGUGGGCAAGUCUGGUGUCAGCCGCCGCGGUAAUACCAGCACCCCGAGUGGUCGGGACGAUUAUUGGGCCUAAAGCAUCCGUAGCCGGUACUGCAAGUCUUCCGUUAAAUCCACCUGCUUAACAGUUGGGCUGCGGGGGAUACUACAGCGCUAGGAGGCGGGAGAGGCAAGCGGUACUCAAUGGGUAGGGGUAAAAUCCGCUGAUCCAUUGAAGACCACCAGUGGCGAAGGCGGCUUGCCAGAACGCGCUCGACGGUGAGGGAUGAAAGCUGGGGGAGCAAACCGGAUUAGAUACCCGGGUAGUCCCAGCUGUAAACGAUGCAGACUCGGUGAUGGGCUGGCCUUGUGCCAACCCAGUGCCGCAGGGAAGCCGUUAAGUCUGCCGCCUGGGGAGUACGGUCGCAAGACUGAAACUUAA